AGGCGUUCCUUCGGGGGCGCCGAGAGCGGCGAACGGCGGAGUAACACGUGAUAACCUGCCCCGAAGACUGGGAUAACCCGGGGAAACUCGGGCUAAUACCGGAUGUGGAUUCUUGGCUUCGGCUGAGGCAUCUAAAGGCGCAAGCCGCUUCGGGAGGGGCUCGCGGCCUUCAGGUAGUUGGUGAGGUAACGGCUCACCAAGCCUGCGACGGGUAGCCGGUCUGAGAGGCGGCCGGCCCGAGGGGCACUGAGACACGGGCCCCACUCCUACGGGAGGCAGCAGUCGGGAUUUUGGGCAAUGGGCGCAAGCCUGACCCAGCGACGCCGCGUGGAGGACGAAGCCCUUCGGGCGUAAACUCCUUUUAGUGGGGACGAACGCAGACGGUACCCACAGAAAAAGCCCCGGUAACUACGUGCCAGCAGCCGCGGUAAUACGUAGGGGGCGAGCGUUGCCCGAAUUUACUGGCGUAAAGCGCACGUAGGCGGCUCCGUAAGUCUGGUGUGAAAUCUCACGGCUCAACCGGAGGCUGCACCAGAUACUGCGGGGCUCGAGGGCGGGAGAGGAGAUUGGAAUUCCCGGUGUGCGGUGAAAUGCAUUGAUAUCGGGAGGAACACCAGUGGCGAAGGCGGAUCUCUGGCCCGUUCUGACGCUGAGGUGCGAAAGCUGGGGGAGCGAAAGGGAUUAGAUACCCCUGUAGUCCAGCCCUAAACGAUGGGCGCUAGGUGUUGGGGGAUACCCCUCAGCGCCGUAGCUAACGCAUAAGCGCCCCGCCUGGGGAGUACGGCCGCAAGGUUGAAACUCAAAUGAAUUGACGGGG
This 817-nucleotide ribosomal RNA is filed under the name uncultured Armatimonadota bacterium. RNAcentral describes it as "bacterial SSU rRNA". It matches the Rfam family "Bacterial small subunit ribosomal RNA", at positions 71 to 918 of the family's 1533-position model. The record is from RNAcentral. Lineage: Bacteria; Bacillati; Armatimonadota.